Molecule: ribosomal RNA, 432 nt
Filed under: uncultured bacterium
Lineage: Bacteria
Description: bacterial SSU rRNA
Rfam family: Bacterial small subunit ribosomal RNA
Source: RNAcentral
AACGAACGCUGGCGGCAGGCCUAACACAUGCAAGUCGAGCGCCCCAGCGAUGGGGAGCGGCGGACGGGUGAGUAACGCGUGGGAACGUGCCCCUUUCUGCGGAAUAGCCUCGGGAAACUGGGAGUAAUACCGCAUAAGCCCUACGGGGGAAAGAUUUAUCGGGAAGGGAUCGGCCCGCGUUGGAUUAGGUAGUUGGUGGGGUAAUGGCCUACCAAGCCGACGAUCCAUAGCUGGUUUGAGAGGAUGAUCAGCCACACUGGGACUGAGACACGGCCCAGACUCCUACGGGAGGCAGCAGUGGGGAAUCUUAGACAAUGGGCGCAAGCCUGAUCUAGCCAUGCCGCGUGAGCGAUGAAGGCCUUAGGGUUGUAAAGCUCUUUCAGGGGGAAGAUAAUGACUGUACCCCCAGAAGAAGCCCCGGCUAACUCCGUG